RNAcentral lists this long non-coding RNA (1167 nucleotides) under Danio rerio (zebrafish). RNAcentral describes it as "si:ch211-262h13.7 (ENSDARG00000101198.2)". The record is from RNAcentral. Lineage: Eukaryota; Metazoa; Chordata; Actinopteri; Cypriniformes; Danionidae.
UAUAUGAGCGUCGCCCUGUAACGUUUAAGAGCACAGGCCGUUGACAGCAGCUAAUCUAUGAAGUGGUGAACUCUUCGCCAGAGACGCUCCACAGCAUUGAAUGGGAAAGGCUUUGCCAUUUCAGAUGCCAAACACUGAUCAUGACUUCUGUGCGUAGCCCAUGAGGACAGAGGAGCAGCAUGUGACUUAUGUACAGCCACUCAUCAACAAGAUUUCUCUUGUCUUUCCGGCUCCCUGUGACUGUGGAGUAUUCAGGAUCAGUGGUUUCCCGAGGAAACAUAUACUGCCUGCCGCCACCUAAAAUAACCUGCAGCACAAUUAAAGAGGAAUGAUGUCAAAAACGACAACAAAUUAACAUCAAGCAUGACUUCAAGAAACACUUAAAAAGGGGUCGCCACAGCAGAAUGAACCACCAGUUAUUCCAGCAUAAGUUUUACGCAGUGGAUGCCCUUCCAGCCCCACCUCAGAACUGGGAAAUUCCUGACAUAAAGUGAUGAGCUGGACUGCGAUAUCUUGGCAUCCUCCUGCCACGGCUUCAGACGUCAGCUCUUUAUCGCUGUACCAGCCUCGCUCAGGGGUGUGCGAGUAACUGGCGGCGGGCGACGCGUGCUGGACACGUGCUGUGCUCACUAUACCGACAGACUUCCCUGGAAAACACAAGGACAGCCUGUGAUGUGGAUCCAGAGAAGGAUAAUUGCGAACCAUGAAACAACACUUACCAGGAACAACGGAGAAACAUCCAUCGAAUCCUGCUGAUGCGAAUAUUCCAAUGAGCAGCAGGGCUUGUGUUUUGGCCAUGAUUGAGCUUCUGGAGAUCUGCAUGCCUGAAGCUCACACUGAUGUUUAUAUUCUUCAGUCCGACCAAAGGACAUUCAGCGCUGCCGGUUGUCUGUUCUCCUACCAGCUGGCCAAACUACCACCCAGCAGGCCUGAGUGUUUUGUUCUGCUCAGUCAAACUGUGACCACAUCGAGACUGGAGAGUCUGCAUACUGAAGCAUAAGGUCAGACACGUGUUUAUUUCCACAAGCGGCCAUGCUGGAGGCAGGAAGGCAAACCUCAGACUUCACUGCAUCCACAAACACCCUUGGUAGGGAGCAUGCUGUCCUACAGGUGUGCACUAAAUAUAUAUAAUGUGCGACUGCAGACAGUUGAACCACAUUUGUGACU